This 253-nucleotide ribosomal RNA is filed under the name uncultured bacterium. Its description in RNAcentral is "partial 16S ribosomal RNA". It matches the Rfam family "Bacterial small subunit ribosomal RNA", at positions 524 to 776 of the family's 1533-position model. The record is from RNAcentral.
UACGGAGGGUGCAAGCGUUAUCCGGAUUUACUGGGUUUAAAGGGUGCGUAGGAGGGUAGGAAAGUCAGUGGUGAAAUCUUCGGGCUUAACCCGGAAACUGCCAUUGAUACUAUUUAUCUUGAAUACUUUGGAGGUAAGCGGAAUAUGUCAUGUAGCGGUGAAAUGCUUAGAUAUGACAUAGAACACCAAUUGCGAAGGCAGCUUACUACACAGUUAUUGACACUGAGGCACGAAAGCGUGGGGAUCAAACAGG